Molecule: long non-coding RNA, 206 nt
Organism: Sinocyclocheilus grahami
Lineage: Eukaryota; Metazoa; Chordata; Actinopteri; Cypriniformes; Cyprinidae
Exons: 3
Source: RefSeq, a predicted model, not a curated record
CCUCAGCAACUUCAAAGCAAUCUCAAGACCUGUUUAAGAAACAAUCAGUCUCAGUCUUUCGAUCAUGUUUUGAUCAUGAGAAUGAUGGAGCAGUAACAGCUAUACUUCCACUGAGAAUUGAGGCCCAAUUCUCUAGAAGCUUCUUUCUGGGAUUAAGAAGGCCGAAUAUGUGAUAGAUUGGGCAGUUUAAGAGGUUACAGAAUGUG